GAUGAACGCUGGCGGCGUGCAUAACACAUUCAAGUCGAACGGUGAUUGCCUUCGGGCAUGAUCAGUGGCGGACGGGUGAGUAACGCGUGAGCAACCUGCCCUUGUGUGGGGGAUACCGUCUGGAAACGGACGUUAAUACCGCAUAACACAAGAGGACCGCAUGAUCCUCUUGUCAAAGAUUUAUUGCGCAAGGAUGGGCUCGCGUUGGAUUAGAUAGUUGGUAGGGUAACGGCCUACCAAGUCUGCGAUCCAUAGCCGGACUGAGAGGUUGAACGGCCACAUUGGAACUGAGAUAUGGUCCAG
RNAcentral lists this ribosomal RNA (303 nucleotides) under uncultured bacterium. RNAcentral's name for it is "bacterial SSU rRNA". It matches the Rfam family "Bacterial small subunit ribosomal RNA", at positions 28 to 334 of the family's 1533-position model. The record is from RNAcentral.